UAUACAAAUAAAAUACUAUCAUACAAGUGGAAUACUGGAAAGUCCAGAACAAUGGCUUCUUUAAGGUUUUGCAGUGCGUACAAAUUUUUGUAAAGUAAAGGAACACUCCCGGGUCUGUGAGGGUGGAGCAUGACACAAUAAUUUAGAGAACACCAAAUAUACAAGCUAUGCUCCACCGCUAGGCAAACAUAGAUACUCUUGGGUGUCCACGUUCAGAGGAAAUUUUUAAGGCUAGUUUCACACUAGCGGCAGGGGACUCUGGCAGGCUGUUCCAGCGGGUGAACAGCCUUUUGGAUUCGUCCUGCCGCUAGUUCACGUGUGCCCCUGGACUGCCACUCCGUCCCCAUUGACUAUAAUGGGGGUCGGGGGCGGAGUUCUGACAGUAGCGCACGCCGAGAGGCAGCCGGAUCUUCAAUGCAGCA
Long non-coding RNA from Bufo bufo (common toad), 422 nucleotides. RefSeq lists it as uncharacterized. The record is from RefSeq and is a predicted model, not a curated record. The transcript has 3 exons. NCBI's taxonomy places the organism in Eukaryota, Metazoa, Chordata, Amphibia, Anura, Bufonidae.